Molecule: ribosomal RNA, 428 nt
Filed under: Chloroflexota bacterium
Lineage: Bacteria; Bacillati; Chloroflexota
Description: Chloroflexi bacterium partial 16S ribosomal RNA
Rfam family: Bacterial small subunit ribosomal RNA
Source: RNAcentral
UGGGGAAUAUUGCACAAUGGGCGCAAGCCUGAUGCAGCCAUGCCGCGUGUAUGAAGAAGGCCUUCGGGUUGUAAAGUACUUUCAGUCGGGAGGAAGGUGGUAAGGUUAAUAACCUUAUCAAUCGACGUUACCGACAGAAGAAGCACCGGCUACUCCGUGCCAGCAGCCGCGGUAAUACGGAGGGUGCAAGCGUUAAUCGGAAUUACUGGGCGUAAAGCGCACGCAGGCGGUUGAUUGAGUCAGAUGUGAAAUCCCCGGGCUUAACCCGGGAAUUGCAUCUGAUACUGGUCAGCUAGAGUCUUGUAGAGGGGGGUAGAAUUCCAUGUGUAGCGGUGAAAUGCGUAGAGAUGUGGAGGAAUACCGGUGGCGAAGGCGGCCCCCUGGACAAAGACUGACGCUCAGGUGCGAAAGCGUGGGGAGCAAACAGG